Uloborus diversus is the source of this 384-nucleotide long non-coding RNA. RefSeq lists it as uncharacterized. NCBI's taxonomy places the organism in Eukaryota, Metazoa, Arthropoda, Arachnida, Araneae, Uloboridae. The record is from RefSeq and is a predicted model, not a curated record. The transcript is spliced from 4 exons.
UUUUUGUGCAUCGUGUGCACGUUGUCGGACAAAAAUAAUGGGAAGAAAAGCAGAAUUUUUGCAAAAAACCCAUCAAAGGGCCUGGCCGAAAAGCAAGAAAGCAGAAAGAACCUCAAUUGCCAAAGAAAUUACAAGAAAAAGAUCCAAAUUUUGUUAGCAGAAGGGCCAGAAAAAGAUUGAAAAAACAAGAUGUAAAGAAAAAUCAGUUGAAAAAUAAAGUCGAACCGGUUGAAGAGAAGUUUUCCGAUUGUGAUGCGUCUUUGGAAUCCUCAGAUGACGAGCACAUUUCUAAGAAGCCAAAGCUUUUUACGGAUGAUAAUGCAGACUGGUUGAAACCCAAAGACAAGAGUGAUUUGUUUGAAGGAUCUGAUGAUCAGGAUGAGG